GACGAACGCUGGCGGCGUGCUUAACACAUGCAAGUCGAACGGAAAGGCCCUGCUUUUGUCGGGUGCUCGAGUGGCGAACGGGUGAGUAACACGUGAGUAACCUGCCCUUGACUUUGGGAUAACUUCAGGAAACUGGGGCUAAUACCGGAUAGGAGCUCCUGCUGCAUGGUGGGGGUUGGAAAGUUUCGGCGGUUGGGGAUGGACUCGCGGUUUAUCAGCUUGUUGGUGGGGUAGUGGCGUACCAAGGCUUUGACGGGUAGCCGGCCUGAGAGGGUGAACGGCCACAUUGGGACUGAGAUACGGCCCAGACUCCAACGGGAGGCAGCAGUGGGGAAUAUGGCACAAUGGGGGGAAGCCUGAUGCAGCAACGCCGCGUGCGGGAUGACGGCCUUCGGGUUGUAAACCGCUUUCGCCUGUGACGAAGCGUGAGUGACGGUAAUGGGUAAAGAAGCACCGGCUAACUACGUG
Molecule: ribosomal RNA, 468 nt
Filed under: uncultured bacterium
Lineage: Bacteria
Description: partial 16S ribosomal RNA
Rfam family: Bacterial small subunit ribosomal RNA
Source: RNAcentral